RNAcentral lists this ribosomal RNA (422 nucleotides) under uncultured bacterium. Its description in RNAcentral is "bacterial SSU rRNA". It matches the Rfam family "Bacterial small subunit ribosomal RNA", at positions 356 to 774 of the family's 1533-position model. The record is from RNAcentral.
AGGGAAUAUUGGACAAUGGGGGGAACCCUGAUCCAGCCAUGCCGCGUGGAGGAAGACUGCCCUCUGGGUUGUAAACUCCUUUUAUAUGGGAAGAACCGUCCUCAUUGAUGAGUGACCUGACGGUACCAUAGGAAUAAGCACCGGCUAACUCCGUGCCAGCAGCCGCGGUAAUACGGAGGGUGCAAGCGUUAUCCGGAUUCACUGGGUUUAAAGGGUGCGUAGGCGGAUAUGUAAGUCAGUGGUGAAAUCAACGGGCUCAACCUGUUAACUGCCAUUGAUACUGUGUAUCUUGAAUAUGAGAGAGGUAGGCGGAAUGUUGCAUGUAGCAGUGAAAUGCUUAGAUAUGCUACGGAACACCGAUUGCGAAGGCAGCUUACUAUUUCGUAAUUGACGCUGAGGCACGAAAGCGUGGGUAGCGAACA